CGCGGCCUAUCAGCUUGUUGGCGGGGUAACGGCCCACCAAGGCACGACGGGUAGCUGGUUUGAGAGAACGAUCAGCCACACUGGAACUGAGACACGGUCCAGACUUCUACGGAAGGCAGCAGUAGGGAAUCUUGCGCAAUGGGGGAAACCCUGACGCAGCGACGCCGCGUGCGGGAUGACGGCCCUAGUGGUUGUAAACCGCUUUCAGCAGGGACGAAAAUGACGGUACCUGCAGAAGAAGUCCCGGCUAACUACGUGCCAGCAGCCGCGGUAAUACGUAGGGGACAAGCGUUGUCCGGAUUCAUUGGGCGUAAAGAGCUCGUAGGCGGUUCAGUAAGUUGGGUGUGAAAGCUCCGGGCUCAACCCGGAGAGGCCACUCAAUACUGCUGUGACUAGAGUCCAGUAGAGGAGCGUGGAACUCCUGGUGUAGCGGUGAAAUGCGCAGAUAUCAGGAAGAACACCGGCAGCGAAGGCGGCGCUCUGGGCUGGUACUGACGCUGAGGAGCGAAAGCAUGGGUAGCAAACAGGAUUAGAUACCCUGGUAGUCCAUGCCGUAAACGUUGGGCACUAGGUGUGGGAGGGAAUCAACCCCUUCCGUGCCGUAGCUAACGCAUUAAGUGCCCCGCCUGGGGAGUACGG
Molecule: ribosomal RNA, 639 nt
Filed under: uncultured Actinomycetes bacterium
Lineage: Bacteria; Bacillati; Actinomycetota; Actinomycetes
Description: bacterial SSU rRNA
Rfam family: Bacterial small subunit ribosomal RNA
Source: RNAcentral